AGAGAGGUGGCCGAGCGGUUUAAGGCGCACGCCUGGAAAGUGUGUAUACGCCAAAAGCGUAUCGAGGGUUCGAAUCCCUUCCUCUCUGCAA
RNAcentral lists this transfer RNA (91 nucleotides) under Flavobacteriales bacterium. RNAcentral's name for it is "tRNA-Ser". It matches the Rfam family "tRNA". From Rfam's summary of the family: Transfer RNA (tRNA) molecules are approximately 80 nucleotides in length. Their secondary structure includes four short double-helical elements and three loops (D, anti-codon, and T loops). The record is from RNAcentral. Lineage: Bacteria; Pseudomonadati; Bacteroidota; Flavobacteriia; Flavobacteriales.